Molecule: ribosomal RNA, 378 nt
Filed under: uncultured eukaryote
Lineage: Eukaryota
Description: partial 18S ribosomal RNA
Rfam family: Eukaryotic small subunit ribosomal RNA
Source: RNAcentral
CAAUAGCGUAUAUUUAAGUUGUUGCAGUUAAAAAGCUCGUAGUUGGAUUUCGGGUGGGACGCAGCGGUCUCGCAUUGCGUUUGUACUGCUGCAGCCCUCCUUCUUGCCGGGGGCGGCCUCUCGGACUUCACUGUCUGGGGGUCAGAAUCGGCGAUGUUACUUUGAGUAAAUUAGAGUGCUCAAAGCAAGCUUACGCUCUGAAUAUAAUAGCAUGGGAUAACACGACAGGACUCUGGCCUAUCGUGUUGGUCUAUAGGACCAGAGUAAUGAUUAAGAGGGACAGUCGGGGGCAUUCGUAUUCCGUUGUCAGAGGUGAAAUUCUUGGAUUUACGGAAGACGAACAUCUGCGAAAGCAUUUGCCAAGGAUGUUUUCAUUGA